Molecule: ribosomal RNA, 497 nt
Filed under: uncultured bacterium
Lineage: Bacteria
Description: partial 16S ribosomal RNA
Rfam family: Bacterial small subunit ribosomal RNA
Source: RNAcentral
GAUGAACGCUGGCGGCGUGCCUAAUACAUGCAAGUCGAGCGAACGGACGAGAAGCUUGCUUCUCUGAUGUUAGCGGCGGACGGGUGAGUAACACGUGGAUAACCUACCUAUAAGACUGGGAUAACUUCGGGAAACCGGAGCUAAUACCGGAUAAUAUUUUGAACCGCAUGGUUCAAAAGUGAAAGACGGUCUUGCUGUCACUUAUAGAUGGAUCCGCGCUGCAUUAGCUAGUUGGUAAGAUAACGGCUUACCAAGGCAACGAUGCAUAGCCGACCUGAGAGGGUGAUCGGCCACACUGGAACUGAGGCACGGUCCAGACUCCUACGGGAGGCAGCAGUAGGGAAUCUUCCGCAAUGGGCGAAAGCCUGACGGAGCAACGCCGCGUGAGUGAUGAAGGUCUUCGGAUCGUAAAACUCUGUUAUUAGGGAAGAACAUAUGUGUAAGUAACUGUGCACAUCUUGACGGUACCUAAUCAGAAAGCCACGGCUAACUACGUG